RNAcentral lists this transfer RNA (73 nucleotides) under bacterium. Its description in RNAcentral is "tRNA-Glu". It matches the Rfam family "tRNA". Rfam says of the family: Transfer RNA (tRNA) molecules are approximately 80 nucleotides in length. Their secondary structure includes four short double-helical elements and three loops (D, anti-codon, and T loops). Further hydrogen bonds mediate the characteristic L-shaped molecular structure. tRNAs have two regions of fundamental functional importance: the anti-codon, which is responsible for specific mRNA codon recognition, and the 3' end, to which the tRNAs corresponding amino acid is attached (by aminoacyl-tRNA synthetases). tRNAs cope with the degeneracy of the genetic code in two manners: having more than one tRNA (with a specific anti-codon) for a particular amino acid; and 'wobble' base-pairing, i.e. permitting non-standard base-pairing at the 3rd anti-codon position. RNAcentral also lists the same sequence under 2 other names. The record is from RNAcentral.
GUCCCCAUCGUCCAACGGCCCAGGACCCCGCCCUUUCGGGGCGGCAACACGGGUUCGAGUCUCGUUAGGGCCU